AUCUCUGUAGAGUCUGCAUAUCAAUAAGCGGAGGAAAAGAAACUAACAAGGAUUCCCUUAGUAACGGCGAGUGAAGCGGGAAGAGCUCAAAUUUGAAAUCUUCAAGGUUCUACCUUGACGAAUUGUAGUUUAAAGAAGUGUUUUCUGUUGGAUGAGUAGCAAAAGUUCCUUGGAAUGGGACAUCAUAGAGGGUGAGAAUCCCGUAUUUGGUUAUUCAUUCUAGCUUUGUGAUACACUUUCAAAGAGUCGGAUUGUUUGGGAAUGCAGUCCGAAAUGGGUGGUAAAUUUCAUCUAAAGCUAAAUACUGGCGAGAGACCGAUAGCGAACAAGUACCGUGAGGGAAAGAUGAAAAGAACUUUGAAUAGAGAGUUAAACAGUACGUGAAAUUGUCAAAAGGGAAGCGUUUGACACCAGUGUUGUUUUCUCGAAAAUCAAUUAAGAAUGGCAUGAUUCUGUGUUGUAUUGACCUUUAUCAGCUUUCUUCACUCUUUUCGAUGUCUUUCUUAAUGCACUUUUCGGUUAACAAGUCAACAUCAAUUUCUUUUGUUGUAAAAGAGUCAUUGGAAGGUGGCUUUCUUUUCGGAGAAAGUGUUUAUAGCCUUAUGCCUCUACAAUCGGAGAGAUUGAGGUCUGCAGCGUAAAUCCUUCGGGGUUAGAUACACUUGUGCUAAGUUGUAGCUUUUCAUAGACAACUUGUUGACUAUGUUUAGUCAUGCGGCUUACUCGCUUAGUGCUAUUUUACCUACGCUUAGGAUGUUGAAGAUGUAGCACAUCAU
This 776-nucleotide ribosomal RNA is filed under the name uncultured Neocallimastigales. Its description in RNAcentral is "partial large subunit ribosomal RNA". It matches the Rfam family "Eukaryotic large subunit ribosomal RNA", at positions 24 to 643 of the family's 3401-position model. The record is from RNAcentral. Lineage: Eukaryota; Fungi; Neocallimastigomycota; Neocallimastigomycetes; Neocallimastigales.